RNAcentral lists this ribosomal RNA (500 nucleotides) under uncultured bacterium. RNAcentral's name for it is "partial 16S ribosomal RNA". It matches the Rfam family "Bacterial small subunit ribosomal RNA", at positions 30 to 523 of the family's 1533-position model. The record is from RNAcentral.
AUUGAACGCUGGCGGAAUGCUUUACACAUGCAAGUCGAACGGCAGCACGGACUUCGGUCUGGUGGCGAGUGGCGAACGGGUGAGUAAUACAUCGGAACGUGCCCAGUCGUGGGGGAUAACGUAGCGAAAGCUACGCUAAUACCGCAUACGAUCUAAGGAUGAAAGCGGGGGACCGUAAGGCCUCGCGCGAUCGGAGCGGCCGAUGUCAGAUUAGGUAGUUGGUGGGGUAAAGGCUCACCAAGCCGACGAUCUGUAGCUGGUCUGAGAGGACGACCAGCCACACUGGGACUGAGACACGGCCCAGACUCCUACGGGAGGCAGCAGUGGGGAAUUUUGGACAAUGGGCGCAAGCCUGAUCCAGCAAUGCCGCGUGCAGGAAGAAGGCCUUCGGGUUGUAAACUGCUUUUGUACGGAGCGAAAAGGCUCUCUCUAAUACAGGGGGCUCAUGACGGUACCGUAAGAAUAAGCACCGGCUAACUACGUGCCAGCCGCCGCCGUAA